ACUCUUAUUUUUUCCCAAGCAACUAGUUUAAGAAUAAAGAAAUAUAUAUACACCAUCAACACCCUUUUGGUUUCCAAUGUGAGACUAAACCUUACACAUAAAAAUUUUAGUUGGGCUCUUAAUCAAAGCCCAUUAAUAAUUAUUGGGCUGCCAAGAGGCCUUAACAAGUUUUAAAUCACAAAAUACCAAAUAAAACCUAAUAAAAUCCAAUACUAACACGAUUAACUCUCUUAACCUUUUGAGUUUAACCAUCUCUUCAAAUCCUAUAGCCGGAUCUUUUAGAAACUCACAAGUGCCAAGUAAUGUGAGACUUGUCUCGUUAAAUUUUUGCCGAUCUUGUAGGGAGUCGCACUCCACCCGCAAUAGUCAUCAGUCAUAGAACCGU
RNAcentral lists this long non-coding RNA (385 nucleotides) under Ananas comosus (pineapple). Its description in RNAcentral is "long non-coding RNA (ACOM_LNC033689)". Lineage: Eukaryota; Viridiplantae; Streptophyta; Magnoliopsida; Poales; Bromeliaceae. The record is from RNAcentral.